This 472-nucleotide ribosomal RNA is filed under the name uncultured bacterium. RNAcentral's name for it is "bacterial SSU rRNA". It matches the Rfam family "Bacterial small subunit ribosomal RNA", at positions 355 to 825 of the family's 1533-position model. The record is from RNAcentral.
UGGGGAAUUUUGGACAAUGGGCGAAAGCCUGAUCCAGCAAUGCCGCGUGCAGGAAGAAGGCCUUCGGGUUGUAAACUGCUUUUGUACGGAACGAAAAGGCUCUUUCUAAUAAAGAGGGCCCAUGACGGUACCGUAAGAAUAAGCACCGGCUAACUACGUGCCAGCAGCCGCGGUAAUACGUAGGGUGCGAGCGUUAAUCGGAAUUACUGGGCGUAAAGCGUGCGCAGGCGGUUCUAUAAGACAGAUGUGAAAUCCCCGGGCUCAACCUGGGAAUGGCAUUUGCGACUGUAGAGCUAGAGUACGGUAGAGGGGGAUGGAAUUCCGCGUGUAGCAGUGAAAUGCGUAGAUAUGCGGAGGAACACCGAUGGCGAAGGCAAUCCCCUGGACCUGUACUGACGCUCAUGCACGAAAGCGUGGGGAGCAAACAGGAUUAGAUACCCAUGUAGUCCCUGAGCGGGCUGGCAAGGCGCAU